Long non-coding RNA from Dermacentor andersoni, 1663 nucleotides. RefSeq lists it as uncharacterized. Lineage: Eukaryota; Metazoa; Arthropoda; Arachnida; Ixodida; Ixodidae. The record is from RefSeq and is a predicted model, not a curated record.
CUGGAGGGAACGUCUGUGCGAUGCGACGAGCAUGCGGGCCAAGUACAAGAAGCAACAAUGCCUUCCGCCAUGGAGGAAGGAAACUGAGGAGAGGCCCUACUCCCUCCGCACGCUAGGAGAAAAGUGUGGAGGAAAUGACGUAGGCACUGGAAGCUACACAGUGGACAAGCCAAGAGGGCAAAGCCCCGGCCAAAGGUUGAGCAUCGCAGCGAUGACAGGGCUCGUCGUGGCGCGCUGUGACAGUCGACUGCGCUGCACAGCACGCCAUUGCCAUCUCAGAGGCCGCGCACAGCAGGUGCAGCACGCAAUUAAAAAAUAAUCUUUGACAUUUUGCGAUAAAAGGCAUAUAGAUUUUCCAUUUCUUCAACUCUAAAUUAGCAAUAAUGUGUUACUGAGAAUCUUCUUAUGAUCACGAAAUUCGCAAGUAGCUUUGGUUGGCCAACUGCUUUCGAUGAGCUUUCGAUGAAAACAUUGUGGAUAUGAGUGCGAGCAUCAGUUUUAAUAUGAAAUUGUAAAUUCCCUGCUGCAUUGCAGUGCAAUAAUAUUUGGCCCAUAUUUGGCCCACUGGAGCCUCAUUAACAGAUCGGAGUUUUCUUAAAUAUGUUCAAAAAGUGUUUCCGGGCCCCUUCAAGGUUCUUCUACACUGUGAAACUGCCCUUUUCGUUUGGCAUUGUUGGAAUAAGUUUGAGAGUUCUCUGUUGCUGAUGACUGAAGUGCAUGGUCAUGAAUGGGGCAGUCUGAUUAUGGCCUAAACGGAAUCUGCUUCCCCUGAGCCUCGUCCCAAUGGAACAGUUUUCCAUUUACCUUGACCUUGUUGAAGGACAGAUACACCUUAUCGUUGUCAUUCAUAUUUUGCUUGGCCCAAGGUUUUCUACAUGAGUGUGAGCGAGGACAUAGCCUGUGAAAAUAUUGCUGAGUGAGUAUCGACUUAUUCUGCCAACCUAUGCAAACAGUUUCUAAUUGUGCACUUGAGUUAGUAGCUCACAUGUUUCUGAACAAGAAAGAUUGCUCUGAGCCUAGCUGUGUGGAUGUAAUUUUUUCUGCCACUUUGCCAUUUCUCUGCUUACCUGAAAAUGGCCUUAGAACUUGUCCAAUAUAACUCAGUUUGGUUUAUCUCAUCUAAUAUAAUAGAACUGCGAGCAUUUUUCCCAUAAACAUAAUCUGUAUUCCUUUGCGGUCAAUUCAAUAUAGAAUUGCACGUCUAGCACGCUUUUACAGGAUUUAUCAUCAUCCUACACUGGACACACAAUUCUUUACAAGACCCCAUUAUGUAUCACAGCUUGUCGAUCACUGUCAUAAAGUUUGGACCUAUCUAUGUCAUGCGAUGCAUUUUUCCCAGUCUUUCUUUCUUUGUGCAUGUGUACACUGGAACCACCUUCCCGCUGACAUCGUAAAUACUACUAGUGAUAGUAGCCUUUUUCAUGAAAUUUGAGCUAACAUUCUAUAACCAGAAAUUUCUUUUUUGUGACACAGCAGCCAGCAUUGUACAGAAAGAAACCUCUUGUAUUUCAGCAUUUUGUUUUGUUCAUAAUAAUCACUGCAUUUUCUUUACUUCCUAUGUACCACUUUUUCUUUUGUACCACAUCCCUCUAUAAUGCCUCUGGCCCUGAGGGUAUGGUAAAUAAAUAAAUAAAUGAAUAAAUAAAUACUGUUGUUAUAUUCA